Long non-coding RNA from Artibeus jamaicensis (Jamaican fruit-eating bat), 448 nucleotides. RefSeq lists it as uncharacterized. The transcript is spliced from 4 exons. The record is from RefSeq and is a predicted model, not a curated record. Lineage: Eukaryota; Metazoa; Chordata; Mammalia; Chiroptera; Phyllostomidae.
CCGAACUAAUGGCAAAAGAGAAGCCACACCAGCAAUACUUCCUGUGAGUGAAGUACUUCUGGGGUUAGAAAGUGCUACCCAUUCAUUAUUCAUUCUCUCUCCUGCUAGGUUUCUGAACCUGGACUGGGUAGGGGAACCAUAAAGUAUAAGGCUGCUUUCCUGGCCACCAGCCCUUUCGGUGACUCCCAAAGAAGCCCCAAAUCUGAUAUCCAGGCGUGUGUGUUGGUGUGAACCUGUUACAACACUACGUGCUUCUGGGAGCAUAUGCGCACACAGGCCUCUGGGGGCAGCAUGGCUCCAAACCCAAACACCCCACGCUGUGUAGCCCCAGCUCUGGCUUGGCCCUGAAGAGGUCUAGGGCCCCUCCUACCUGCAAACACUGCGGAGCAGUAGGCAUCGCUGAUGUCCGUGUCUGGGGUGUGGACGUUUUCGGCAUAGAGGAUGAAGA